This is a long non-coding RNA of Fundulus heteroclitus (mummichog), 1826 nucleotides long. RefSeq lists it as uncharacterized. The transcript has 2 exons. Lineage: Eukaryota; Metazoa; Chordata; Actinopteri; Cyprinodontiformes; Fundulidae. The record is from RefSeq and is a predicted model, not a curated record.
AAAACUGUGAAGAAACUGUUAGAAAUUGUCUUUUAUGGCUAAACCUACACACGUCCUUAGUAACAUUUAAUUACUGAAUUUACUUUUCUGCUGACUGAGGCUUUUUCCAUGAGCUUACUGUGACUGUGCAGUGAAGCUAACUAAAAAUAAAAACUGACUUUUAAGCUGUUAAAUGUGGUUGAAAGGUUUUCCAGAGAGCAGAAAUGAAGCGAAUGUUGUGGCUUCAGCUGCUCCUCUGGAUGUCACAGACACAGCGCCCCAACCUGGGAAUGGCAGUCCUCCUUCUCACCAGCAUCACGCAGACUUGAUCACGCAGAUCAGGGUUAGGAGUUAAGCUGUGGGUUAGGAUUUAACCCGUGUGUGAAGGCUUAGCACUUUUCUUCCUUUUGGAAUGUGUUAGAAACAGUUACUUAGGAAAAGUAGCCUGAUUACUGAUUAUUCCUUUGAAAAGUAACUAAGUUACAAGACUGAUUACUUAAAUAUAAAAGUAACUGAGUUAGAUUACAAGUUACUUUAUUAUUUACUGUAACCCACAUGGUUACCAGACCCAUGUAUGUAAUUUAAAAGAAAAAGAGAAAAAAACUGUAGUUAUUACCUCUUACCACAUGGUGGCGCUUUGUAUCAGGUCACCGCCAGUGAGCAUAAACACUCACACUGAUAGACCGAGCCGAGAGCAACACACCAGUUGAGCUAAUUAGACUGAGAGAGAGAAUCUUAUGAGCCUUGAGAGGAAGAGAGGAGCUGCUUCGACCACAUAUAAGCCCUCUGAACUCCGCUAAGAGUUGGGCUACGUGCUAGCAUGUUAAGAUGCUGGGCUUCGCUUAUUAGCUUGUAGGAGUGAGGAUGUUAUUUGCUGAGGCAGUUUCAUAAAACCAGUCGGAGUUAUUAUCCAAUGUUUGACCCACCGUGGUACUGUGUAUCAUUGUGCUUUAUGAAAAAUAACUGAAAAGAUGGCUAUUUACAGUGCUAACGCUAAUCGCGGGUAGCUUGCUAUGCUAGCACAGGUAGCCUACAAUGCUACUGUGUCAUUAGACACAGAGAGAGAUAAAAUUUGAUGGUAAGAUGCAAGAACAUUGUUCUUAUGUACUGUUUUUGUGUACAUAAUGUGAUUUAUUUCAUUGUGGUUAUUCAAAUACUCAUGAUGAUUAAAAAGAGUGAAUGGAUAAAAUGUAUUCAUGGUUAAAAAGGUUAAAAGACAUAAAGUGUUCUAGUUAAAAAAGAUAAAUAUUGAUUUAAAAGCUGGUUAUUGAUACAAAUACUGCUUUAAAAGACUGUGAAGUCCAUUUGUGUUAAGAAUAUAAGUUCUUAAUGUAUAAUUGUGUUGAAGUAACACUAAAGUUUUGUACACUAUCAUUUACAAUGAUUUGGUUAAGAAAAUGCAGAGAAUCAGAGUAAGAGUAGUGAUGAAUAUAGUACUAAUAGAAAUUAGUUUCUGCACCAUGUGUGUAGAUUGGUUUUAUAUUUCUGCUGGAUCAGGAAUUGAUCUACAGGAAGAAUUCUGAGCCUUCCAUGUUUCAGUGGCGACAGGAAAGGAGAACGGGAUCAACUUCACAAGAACUGCAGACAUCUUCCUACUUCUCUGAUACAGAUAAGCGCGCUCAAUACGAACUAAAACCUACCCGGGUAGUAGAAGAGUAAAUGAACAGACAACACAUACACCACACAGAACAAAGCUUUUCUUCUGGCAUCGAAGAAAAGGACACUUUUAUUUUAACUUUUCUAUUAUAUUUUUGUUUAUCAAAGAGCUCUAUUUUGUUGGUAUUGUUUUAAUUCUUUGUAUUAAAAGAAAUAAUACUUGUUGAAUGCAAUAAAUGAUCAUUGUUCAA